This 68-nucleotide transfer RNA is filed under the name Marmota monax (woodchuck). RNAcentral's name for it is "tRNA.Ala". The stretch from base 3 to 63 matches the Rfam family "tRNA", at positions 6 to 65 of the family's 71-position model. From Rfam's summary of the family: Transfer RNA (tRNA) molecules are approximately 80 nucleotides in length. Their secondary structure includes four short double-helical elements and three loops (D, anti-codon, and T loops). Further hydrogen bonds mediate the characteristic L-shaped molecular structure. tRNAs have two regions of fundamental functional importance: the anti-codon, which is responsible for specific mRNA codon recognition, and the 3' end, to which the tRNAs corresponding amino acid is attached (by aminoacyl-tRNA synthetases). tRNAs cope with the degeneracy of the genetic code in two manners: having more than one tRNA (with a specific anti-codon) for a particular amino acid; and 'wobble' base-pairing, i.e. permitting non-standard base-pairing at the 3rd anti-codon position. Lineage: Eukaryota; Metazoa; Chordata; Mammalia; Rodentia; Sciuridae. The record is from RNAcentral.
CUUGUGGCUCAAUGGUAGAGCACUUGCCUAGCAUGCAGGAGGCCCUGGGUUCGAUCCUCAGCACCACA